This 252-nucleotide ribosomal RNA is filed under the name uncultured microorganism. RNAcentral's name for it is "partial 16S ribosomal RNA". It matches the Rfam family "Bacterial small subunit ribosomal RNA", at positions 524 to 776 of the family's 1533-position model. The record is from RNAcentral.
AACGUAGGGGGCGAGCGUUGUCCGGAUUUAUUGGGCGUAAAGCGAGCGCAGGUGGUUUAAUAAGUCUGAUGUAAAAGGCAGUGGCUCAACCAUUGUGUGCAUUGGAAACUGUUAGACUUGAGUGCAGUAGAGGAGAGUGGAAUUCCAUGUGUAGCGGUGAAAUGCGUAGAUAUAUGGAGGAACACCGGUGGCGAAAGCGGCUCUCUGGACUGUAACUGACACUGAGGCUCGAAAGCGUGGGUAGCAAACAGG